AGUCGUUGCCUUGUUCAAAACUGGGAUUGGGCUAGUACAUCAGCAGGUUAUGGACCAGUGAAACUUUUGUUCUUUUCCUUCAUAUAUAUCACCUUCAAGAGCUGUAUCAGGAUCAAAGCAUUGAUUAGGGGCCAUUCUUGCAUCUGCCCGCAUGCGGCUGACGACAACCGGAGAGAGAGACAAUGUGGUGGCACAUGCAAAACGCAAGCCGCGACCAUAAUUUGCUUUAAUUUGUCUGUUUAAAACCCAUUGCUGUGAACUUUCUUGCGUUUCCCAUGCGAGUUCAUGCUGGCUGUAGCUGGUCCCUCUGCAUUGUUUCUCCACGCGUCUGACGAAAAUGGAAUUCCAAAGAGAAUUGUUUUAGGAUGAUCGAGCAUCCAUUAGAGUUCCUGCAGUUCUCUUGCAAAAUUUUUGGCUGUAGUAACAAGAAUGAUCGACAUUUGUACUCUUUCAAGAUCAAACACUGCCGCAUUUUAGUGUAAAGCCUAAAAGGACAUGUGAUUGAGGUAGGCGAUCAUCUAGUCAUCUCUCGGUUCACAAGGCUGAGUUUAGAGGACCAUUUUUUUCCUUUUUAGAGAGAGAGGAGCGUGCGCCGCGAGCGAGCGAGAGAGCUGUCCAAACAGAUAAAGGCGGUGCUAUGGUGAUCCUGUUUGCCAAUAUAUGUAUCUAUUUGUGUACGAGGACUUCCAUCCAAAGUAUGGAUAAACUCCUGUGUUAGGCCGUAUGGCCAUUCA
Molecule: long non-coding RNA, 734 nt
Organism: Sorghum bicolor (sorghum)
Lineage: Eukaryota; Viridiplantae; Streptophyta; Magnoliopsida; Poales; Poaceae
Exons: 2
Source: RefSeq, a predicted model, not a curated record